Molecule: ribosomal RNA, 309 nt
Filed under: uncultured bacterium
Lineage: Bacteria
Description: bacterial SSU rRNA
Rfam family: Bacterial small subunit ribosomal RNA
Source: RNAcentral
GACGAACGCUGGCGGCGCGCCUAACACAUGCAAGUCGAACGAGCGAGAGAGAGUUUGCUUUCUCGAGCGAGUGGCGAACGGGUGAGUAACGCGUGAGGAACCUGCCUUGUACAGAGGGAUAGCAGCUGGAAACGGCUAUUAAUACCUCAUGAAGCCGAUCCAUCGCAUGAAGGAACGGCCAAAGAUUUAUCGGUAUGAGAUGGUCCUGCGUCUGAUUAGCUGGUUGGUGGGGUAACGGCCUACCAAGGCGACGAUCAGUAGCCGGCCUGAGAGGGUGUACAGCCACAUUGGGACUGAGACACGGCCCAA